GCUGCGACUACAAGAAGGAGCAGCAGAAACAAACGCGAGUGAGGCAUAGUAUCGUAUCGUGUUAAGAAAAAGAGAAGAAGAAAAAUGCGAAAGUUCGAUCCAUGGCCAGUUUUCUUCAAGCGCGAAUGGAAACGGACAUGGCCAUUCCUCGUUGGAUUCGCCAUCACCGGAACCAUAAUCACCAAGUUUUCUCUCGGCCUUACCGAGGAAGAUGCUAAGAAUUCGAAAUUCGUUCAGGCGCACAAAAGGUCCAGGUGAUUUCUGAGUCGUGACAUUUCUGCUGGCUUUGCACUGUGUUAGGUUUGUCAAGAUUACUUUGCCUGUUUCGAUUUUAUGGAUUUGUAAUAACAGAAGAGAGAUGUUCUAGAUAGUCUCUCUAAGUAAUUUCUGAUUUGAGUUAUUUCCUUUUUUGUAAUACUUAUCCUACUUUGAGUUUCUCGUUUUAUGCACUCGCCAUAAUCUUGGGGAAAAUAGAUUUUAUAACAGUGUACAAUUUUCCUUGCUGAAGUUUACAAUUCAGUUUUAACUA
Non-coding RNA from Cajanus cajan (pigeon pea), 529 nucleotides. The record is from RefSeq and is a predicted model, not a curated record. NCBI's taxonomy places the organism in Eukaryota, Viridiplantae, Streptophyta, Magnoliopsida, Fabales, Fabaceae.